AGAGUUUGAUCCUGGCUCAGGAUGAACGCUGGCGGCGCGCCUAACACAUGCAAGUCGAACGGCACCCCUCUCCGGAGGGAAGCGAGUGGCGAACGGCUGAGUAACACGUGGAGAACCUGCCCCCUCCCCCGGGAUAGCCGCCCGAAAGGACGGGUAAUACCGGAUACCCCGGGGUGCCGCAUGGCACCCCGGCUAAAGCCCCGACGGGAGGGGAUGGCUCCGCGGCCCAUCAGGUAGACGGCGGGGUGACGGCCCACCGUGCCGACAACGGGUAGCCGGGUUGAGAGACCGACCGGCCAGAUUGGGACUGAGACACGGCCCAGACUCCUACGGGAGGCAGCAGUGGGGAAUAUUGCACAAUGGGGGAAACCCUGAUGCAGCGACGCCGCGUGAAGGAAGAAGUAUCUCGGUAUGUAAACUUCUAUCAGCAGGGAAGAUAGUGACGGUACCUGACUAAGAAGCCCCGGCUAACUACGUGCCAGCAGCCGCGGUAAUACGUAGGGGGCAAGCGUUAUCCGGAUUUACUGGGUGUAAAGGGAGCGUAGACGGUGUGACAAGUCUGAUGUGAAAGGCAUGGGCUCAACCUGUGGACUGCAUUGGAAACUGUCAUACUUGAGUGCCGGAGGGGUAAGCGGAAUUCCUAGUGUAGCGGUGAAAUGCGUAGAUAUUAGGAGGAACACCAGUGGCGAAGGCGGCUUACUGGACGGUAACUGACGUUGAGGCGCGAAAGCUGGGGGAGCGAACAGGAUUAGAUACCCUGGUAGUCCCAGCCGUAAACGAUGGACGCUAGGUGUGGGGGGACGAUCCCCCCGUGCCGCAGCCAACGCAUUAAGCGUCCCGCCUGGGGAGUACGGCCGCAAGGCUAAAACUCAAAGGAAUUGACGGGGGCCCGCACAAGCAGCGGAGCAUGUGGCUUAAUUCGAAGCAACGCGAAGAACCUUACCAGGGCUUGACAUAUGGGUGAAGCGGGGGAGACCCCGUGGCCGAGAGGAGCCCAUACAGGUGGUGCAUGGCUGUCGUCAGCUCGUGUCGUGAGAUGUUGGGUUAAGUCCCGCAACGAGCGCAACCCCCGCCGCGUGUUGCCAUCGGGUGACGCCGGGAACCCACGCGGGACCGCCGCCGUCAAGGCGGAGGAGGGCGGGGACGACGUCAAGUCAUCAUGCCCCUUAUGCCCUGGGCUGCACACGUGCUACAAUGGCCGGUACAGAGGGAUGCCACCCCGCGAGGGGGAGCGGAUCCCGGAAAGCCGGCCCCAGUUCGGAUUGGGGGCUGCAACCCGCCCCCAUGAAGUCGGAGUUGCUAGUAAUCGCGGAUCAGCAUGCCGCGGUGAAUGCGAUCCCGGGCCUUGCACUCACCGCCCGUCA
Molecule: ribosomal RNA, 1364 nt
Filed under: uncultured bacterium
Lineage: Bacteria
Description: partial 16S ribosomal RNA
Rfam family: Bacterial small subunit ribosomal RNA
Source: RNAcentral